AGUGAACGCUGGCGGCAGGCCUAACACAUGCAAGUCGAGCGGCAGCGCGGGGGCAACCCUGGCGGCGAGCGGCGGACGGGUGAGGAAUGCAUCGGAAUCUACCUCGUUGUGGGGGAUAACCUCGGGAAACCGGGACUAAUACCGCAUACGACCUACGGGUGAAAGUGGGGGACCUUCGGGCCUCACGCGAUGAGAUGAGCCGAUGCCGGAUUAGCUAGUUGGCGGGGUAAAGGCCCACCAAGGCGACGAUCCGUAGCUGGUCUGAGAGGAUGAUCAGCCACACUGGAACUGAGACACGGUCCAGACUCUUACGGGAGGCAGCAGUGGGGAAUAUUGGACAAUGGGCGCAAGCCUGAUCCAGCCAUGCCGCGUGUGUGAAGAAGGCCUUCGGGCUGUAAAGCACUUUUGUUGGGGAAGAAACCGGGCCGGAUUAAUACUUCGGCUGAAUGACGGUACCCAAAGAAUAAGCACCGGCUAACUUCGUGCCAGCAGCCGCGGUAAG
RNAcentral lists this ribosomal RNA (502 nucleotides) under uncultured bacterium. Its description in RNAcentral is "bacterial SSU rRNA". It matches the Rfam family "Bacterial small subunit ribosomal RNA", at positions 30 to 524 of the family's 1533-position model. The record is from RNAcentral.